Rhagoletis zephyria (snowberry fruit fly) is the source of this 107-nucleotide long non-coding RNA. RefSeq lists it as uncharacterized. NCBI's taxonomy places the organism in Eukaryota, Metazoa, Arthropoda, Insecta, Diptera, Tephritidae. The record is from RefSeq and is a predicted model, not a curated record.
AGAAAAAUAUAUGUAUGUAUGUUGUGUUAGUGGUAUGUGCAUACAUAUGUAUGUAUGUAUUUAGUUGGUUUAUAACUAUUUUUUACAUCGAAAUCAAAGCAUACUCA